GAGCGCAACCCUUAUCCCCAGUUGCCAUCAGGUAAAGCUGGGAACUCUGGGGAGACUGCCGGUGGAUAAACCGGAGGAAGGCGGGGGAUGACGUCAAGUCCUCAUGGCCCUUACAUCCCGGGCUACACACGUGCUACAAUGGCAGGUACAGAGGGCUGCGAAGCCGCGAGGUGGAGCGAAUCCCAGAAAACCUGUCUCAGUCCGGAUUGAAGUCUGCAACUCGACUUCAUGAAGGCGGAAUCGCUAGUAACCGCGAAUCAGCAGGUCGCGGUGAAUACGUUCCCGGGCCUU
RNAcentral lists this ribosomal RNA (291 nucleotides) under uncultured Latescibacterota bacterium. RNAcentral describes it as "uncultured Latescibacteria bacterium partial 16S ribosomal RNA". It matches the Rfam family "Bacterial small subunit ribosomal RNA", at positions 1094 to 1382 of the family's 1533-position model. The record is from RNAcentral. Lineage: Bacteria; Pseudomonadati; Candidatus Latescibacterota.